This 253-nucleotide ribosomal RNA is filed under the name uncultured bacterium. RNAcentral's name for it is "partial 16S ribosomal RNA". It matches the Rfam family "Bacterial small subunit ribosomal RNA", at positions 524 to 776 of the family's 1533-position model. The record is from RNAcentral.
GACGAACCGUGCGAACGUUAUUCGGAAUCACUGGGCUUAAAGGGCGCGUAGGCGGGCUCGCAAGUCAGGGGUGAAAGCCUCCAGCUCAACUGGAGAAGUGCCUUUGAUACUGCGAGUCUAGAGGGAGGUAGGGGCGUGCGGAACUUCCGGUGGAGCGGUGAAAUGCGUAGAUAUCGGAAGGAACACCGGUGGCGAAAGCGGCGCGCUGGACCUCUUCUGACGCUGAGGCGCGAAAGCCAGGGGAGCAAACGGG